UCUCUCUCUAGCAAUUUAAUAAAAAUGUCACCUUUUCUGUUCUGGAGUUUGCUCCCAGUUUUGCUUCUUGUGUUGAUGUUCAGUUCCCACAAAAAUAUAGGGUUUUUGAACAGUGGUGUAUAGAGCUAUAGAUUAUACAUACAUGUGGUGAAGGGGGUGCACACUGUAGCAAAAUUCAAGAAAUCAGUCUUGUUAUUUACCAAAUGCAUUAAAGGACCAUGCUUCAUUAGCUUUCAAUGCUUACUUCCAAAAGUUUAAGCAUAGUGGUGCCUCUUGCUACUUUCAUAGAUCAUGACCACCGAAAAAGACCCGAGUUAUGGUUCAUGCCACUAUGAUUAUACUCCUUGAUCCAAUGUGACAACAAAGAGGGCAAAUGAACUUGCAACCAAGAGGGCAAAUGAACCUGCUAAAAUGCGCCACUUUAGGCUUCUGUAACCUUGAUAAACUUUGGGCGUAUGAACCAUCAUGUGGCCAUGUGGUAGCUAUAAAAACAGAACAGAAGCUAUGUUAAACAAAUAAUUUUAAACCAAUUAAAAUGCCACGUUAAGAUAUAAGAUUCUCAUUUACUUUAA
Molecule: long non-coding RNA, 572 nt
Filed under: Helianthus annuus (common sunflower)
Lineage: Eukaryota; Viridiplantae; Streptophyta; Magnoliopsida; Asterales; Asteraceae
Description: sRNA HanXRQr2_Chr12g0546671
Source: RNAcentral